UCCCAGUUAGUACAACGGUCAGUAUACGGCACUUUCACUGCUGAGAUCGGGGUUCGAUUCCCCGGCCGGGAA
This 72-nucleotide transfer RNA is filed under the name Moesziomyces antarcticus. RNAcentral describes it as "tRNA-Glu (TTC) (tRNA-Glu-TTC-2-1)". It matches the Rfam family "tRNA". From Rfam's summary of the family: Transfer RNA (tRNA) molecules are approximately 80 nucleotides in length. RNAcentral also lists the same sequence under 1 other name. Lineage: Eukaryota; Fungi; Basidiomycota; Ustilaginomycetes; Ustilaginales; Ustilaginaceae. The record is from RNAcentral.